RNAcentral lists this ribosomal RNA (658 nucleotides) under uncultured bacterium. RNAcentral's name for it is "bacterial SSU rRNA". It matches the Rfam family "Bacterial small subunit ribosomal RNA", at positions 788 to 1446 of the family's 1533-position model. The record is from RNAcentral.
UGGUAGUNCACGCCGUAAACGAUGAGUGCUAGGUGUUAGGCCCUUUCCGGGGCUUAGUGCCGGAGCUAACGCAAUAAGCACUCCGCCUGGGGAGUACGACCGCAAGGUUGAAACUCAAAGGAAUUGACGGGGGCCCGCACAAGCGGUGGAGCGUGUGGUUUAAUUCGAAGCAACGCGAAGAACCUUACCAGGUCUUGACAUCCCGAUGCUAUUCUUAGAGAUAGGAAGUUACUUCGGUACAUCGGAGACAGGUGGUGCAUGGUUGUCGUCAGCUCGUGUCGUGAGAUGUUGGGUUAAGUCCCGCAACGAGCGCAACCCUUAUUGUUAGUUGCCAUCAUUAAGUUGGGCACUCUAGCGAGACUGCCGGUAAUAAACCGGAGGAAGGUGGGGAUGACGUCAAAUCAUCAUGCCCCUUAUGACCUGGGCUACACACGUGCUACAAUGGUCGGUACAACGAGUUGCGAGCCGGUGACGGCAAGCUAAUCUCUGAAAGCCGAUCUCAGUUCGGAUUGGAGGCUGCAAUUCGCCUCCAUGAAGUCGGAAUCGCUAGUAAUCGCGGAUCAGCACGCCGCGGUGAAUACGUUCCCGGGCCUUGUACACACCGCCCGUCACACCACGGGAGUUUGUAACACCCGAAGUCGGUGAGGUAACCUUUUAG